This 770-nucleotide ribosomal RNA is filed under the name uncultured bacterium. Its description in RNAcentral is "bacterial SSU rRNA". It matches the Rfam family "Bacterial small subunit ribosomal RNA", at positions 577 to 1354 of the family's 1533-position model. The record is from RNAcentral.
GGAUCUGUAAGUCAGUGGUGAAAUCUCAUAGCUUAACUAUGAAACUGCCAUUGAUACUGCAGGUCUUGAGUAAAGUAGAAGUGGCUGGAAUAAGUAGUGUAGCGGUGAAAUGCAUAGAUAUUACUUAGAACACCAAUUGCGAAGGCAGGUCACUAUGUUUUAACUGACGCUGAUGGACGAAAGCGUGGGGAGCGAACAGGAUUAGAUACCCUGGUAGUCCACGCCGUAAACGAUGCUAACUCGUUUUUGGGUCUUCGGAUUCAGAGACUAAGCGAAAGUGAUAAGUUAGCCACCUGGGGAGUACGUUCGCAAGAAUGAAACUCAAAGGAAUUGACGGGGGCCCGCACAAGCGGUGGAUUAUGUGGUUUAAUUCGAUGAUACGCGAGGAACCUUACCAAGGCUUAAAUGGGAAUUGACAGGUUUAGAAAUAGACUUUUCUUCGGACAAUUUUCAAGGUGCUGCAUGGUUGUCGUCAGCUCGUGCCGUGAGGUGUUAGGUUAAGUCCUGCAACGAGCGCAACCCCUGUCACUAGUUGCCAUCAUUCAGUUGGGGACUCUAGUGAGACUGCCUACGCAAGUAGAGAGGAAGGUGGGGAUGACGUCAAAUCAUCACGGCCCUUACGCCUUGGGCCACACACGUAAUACAAUGGCCGGUACAGAGGGCAGCUACCUAGCGAUAGGAUGCGAAUCUCGAAAGCCGGUCUCAGUUCGGAUUGGAGUCUGCAACUCGACUCUAUGAAGCUGGAAUCGCUAGUAAUCGCAUAUCAGCCA